ACGGGUGAGUAACGCGUAAAGACUUGCCUUGCAGUCUGGGACAACGUCUGGAAACGGACGCUAAUACCGGAUAUUAUUGCAUGAUGAAAGCUAUAUGCGCUGCGAGAGAGCUUUGCGUCCCAUUAGUUAGUUGGUGAGGUAACGGCUCACCAAGACGAUGAUGGGUAGCCGGCCUGAGAGGGUGAACGGCCACAAGGGGACUGAGACACGGCCCUUACUCCUACGGGAGGCAGCAGUGGGGAAUAUUGGACAAUGGACCAAAGUCUGAUCCAGCAAUUCUGUGUGCACGAUGAAGUUUUUCGGAAUGUAAAGUGCUUUCAGUUGGGAAGAAGAAAGUGACGGUACCAACAGAAGAAGCGACGGCUAAAUACGUGCCAGCAGCCGCGGUAAUACGUAUGUCGCAAGCGUUAUCCGGAUUUAUUGGGCGUAAAGCGUGUCUAGGCGGUUUGGUAAGUCUGAUGUGAAAAUGCGGGGCUCAACUCCGUAUUGCGUUGGAAACUGCCAAACUAGGGUACUGGAGAGGUAGGCGGAACUACAAGUGUAGAGGUGAAAUUCGUAGAUAUUUGUAGGAAUGCCGAUGGGGAAG
Molecule: ribosomal RNA, 586 nt
Filed under: uncultured bacterium
Lineage: Bacteria
Description: bacterial SSU rRNA
Rfam family: Bacterial small subunit ribosomal RNA
Source: RNAcentral